Molecule: ribosomal RNA, 498 nt
Filed under: uncultured bacterium
Lineage: Bacteria
Description: partial 16S ribosomal RNA
Rfam family: Bacterial small subunit ribosomal RNA
Source: RNAcentral
GACGAACGCUGGCGGCGUGCCUAAUACAUGCAAGUCGAACGAGAGCGCCCGGUGCUUGCACUGGUCAAUCUAGUGGCGAACGGGUGAGUAACACGUGGGUAACCUGCUCAUCAGAGGGGAAUAACAUCCGGAAACGGAUGCUAAAACCGCAUAGGUCUUCGAGCCGCAUGGCUUGAAGAGGAAAAGAGGCGCAAGCUUCUGCUGAUGGAUGGACCCGCGGUGCAUUAGCUAGUUGGUGGGGUAACGGCUCACCAAGGCCGUGAUGCAUAGCCGACCUGAGAGGGUGAUCGGCCACAUUGGGACUGAGACACGGCCCAAACUCCUACGGGAGGCAGCAGUAGGGAAUCUUCCGCAAUGGACGCAAGUCUGACGGAGCAACGCCGCGUGAGUGAAGAAGGUUUUCGGAUCGUAAAACUCUGUUGUUAGAGAAGAACAAGUGCUAGAGUAACUGUUAGCGCCUUGACGGUAUCUAACCAGAAAGCCACGGCUAACUACGUG